CGAGGGGCAGCAGCUUUAUAGCAAUAUAGAGGCUGGCGACCGGCAAACGGGUGCGGAACACGUACACAACCUUCCUUUAAGAGGGGGAUAGCCCAUAGAAAUGUGGAUUAAUACCCCGUAAUAUUAUUGAAGUGGCAUCACUUUAUAAUUAUAGUUACGACGCUUGAAGAUGGGUGUGCGGCUGAUUAGGUAGUUGGCGGGGUAAAGGCCCACCAAGCCUUCGAUCAGUAGCUGAUGUGAGAGCAUGAUCAGCCACACGGGCACUGAGACACGGGCCCGACUCCUACGGGAGGCAGCAGUAAGGAAUAUUGGUCAAUGGACGCAAGUCUGAACCAGCCAUGCCGCGUGAAGGAUGAAGGUCCUCUGGAUUGUAAACUUCUUUUAUAGGGGGCGAAGAAAGGGAAUUCUUUCUCACUUGACAGUACCCUAUGAAUAAGCACCGGCUAACUCCGUGCCAGCAGCCGCGGUAAUACGGAGGGUGCAAGCGUUAUCCGGAUUCACUGGGUUUAAAGGGUGCGUAGGCGGGUUUAUAAGUCAGUGGUGAGAUCCUGGAGCUUAACUCCAGAACUGCCAUUGAUACUAUGGAUCUUGAAUAUGGUGGAGGUAAGCGGAAUAUGUCAUGUAGCGGUGAAAUGCAUAGAUAUGACAUAGAACACCUAUUGCGAAGGCAGCUUACUACGCCUAUAUUGACGCUGAGGCACGAAAGCGUGGGGAUCAAACAGGAUUAGAUACCCUGGUAGUCCACGCCCUAAACGAUGAUUACUCGACGUAUGCGAUACACAGUAUGCGUCU
Molecule: ribosomal RNA, 792 nt
Filed under: uncultured bacterium
Lineage: Bacteria
Description: bacterial SSU rRNA
Rfam family: Bacterial small subunit ribosomal RNA
Source: RNAcentral